RNAcentral lists this ribosomal RNA (762 nucleotides) under uncultured bacterium. RNAcentral's name for it is "bacterial SSU rRNA". It matches the Rfam family "Bacterial small subunit ribosomal RNA", at positions 100 to 848 of the family's 1533-position model. The record is from RNAcentral.
GAACGGGUGAGUAACACGUGGGCAACCUGCCCAAAAGAGGGGGAUAACACUUGGAAACAGGUGCUAAUACCGCAUAACCAUAGUUACCGCAUGGUAGCUAUGUAAAAGGUGGCUAUGCUACCGCUUUUGGAUGGGCCCGCGGCGCAUUAGCUAGUUGGUGGGGUAAAGGCUUACCAAGGCAAUGAUGCGUAGCCGAACUGAGAGGUUGAUCGGCCACAUUGGGACUGAGACACGGCCCAAACUCCUACGGGAGGCAGCAGUAGGGAAUCUUCCACAAUGGGCGAAAGCCUGAUGGAGCAACGCCGCGUGGGUGAAGAAGGUCUUCGGAUCGUAAAACCCUGUUGUUAGAGAAGAAAGUGCGUGAGAGUAACUGUUCACGUUUCGACGGUAUCUAACCAGAAAGCCACGGCUAACUACGUGCCAGCAGCCGCGGUAAUACGUAGGUGGCAAGCGUUAUCCGGAUUUAUUGGGCGUAAAGGGAACGCAGGCGGUCUUUUAAGUCUGAUGUGAAAGCCUUCGGCUUAACCGGAGUAGUGCAUUGGAAACUGGGAGACUUGAGUGCAGAAGAGGAGAGUGGAACUCCAUGUGUAGCGGUGAAAUGCGUAGAUAUAUGGAAGAACACCAGUGGCGAAAGCGGCUCUCUGGUCUGUAACUGACGCUGAGGUUCGAAAGCGUGGGUAGCAAACAGGAUUAGAUACCCUGGUAGUCCACGCCGUAAACGAUGAAUGCUAAGUGUUGGAGGGUUUCCGCCCUUCAGUGCUG